This 479-nucleotide ribosomal RNA is filed under the name uncultured bacterium. RNAcentral's name for it is "partial 16S ribosomal RNA". It matches the Rfam family "Bacterial small subunit ribosomal RNA", at positions 28 to 507 of the family's 1533-position model. The record is from RNAcentral.
GAUGAACGCUAGCGGGAGGCCUAACACAUGCAAGCCGAGCGGUAGAGUUUCUUCGGAAACUUGAGAGCGGCGCACGGGUGCGUAACACGUGUGCAACCUACCUUUAUCUGGGGGAUAGCCUUUCGAAAGGAAGAUUAAUACCCCAUAAUAUAAUGAUUGGCAUCAAUUAUUAUUGAAAACUCCGGUGGAUAGAGAUGGGCACGCGCAAGAUUAGAUAGUUGGUGAGGUAACGGCUCACCAAGACAAUGAUCUUUAGGGGUCCUGAGAGGGAGAUCCCCCACACUGGUACUGAGACACGGACCAGACUCCUACGGGAGGCAGCAGUGAGGAAUAUUGGACAAUGGGUGAGAGCCUGAUCCAGCCAUCCCGCGUGAAGGAUGACGGUCCUAUGGAUUGUAAACUUCUUUUGUACAGGGAUAAACCUACCCUCGUGAGGGUAGCUGAAGGUACUGGACGAAUAAGCACCGGCUAACUCCGUG